AUGGACCAGAAGAAGCGUGAGUUCCGCAACCUCACCCAAGGCAACAAAAUGGUGGAAGCUUAUCAGCGAGAGUUUCUGGACUUGUCCCGCUACGCUGAAGAGGACAUUGCAACUGAUGCACGCAGACAGGAGAAGUUCCGGGAUGGCCUUCAAGCUGACAUCAAGCUCGCACUUCUAGUGCAUGACUUUGUUGAUUUCGCCACUCUGGUGAACAAAGCCAUCAAUGUCGAAACUGGUCUGCAGGAAUACCAGAGCUCUCACAGGCGCAGCCGUGACACGGGCUCAUCUUCGGGCCCGUCCUCGCAGAAGCGCAAGAUAUGGAUUCCCAACAGCAUGUACCAGCCGAAUGCACCUGCCCCAAGGCAGUCCUAUGCUGCACCUCGUCUGCCAACUGCUCCAACUAGGCAGCCAAGGCUUCCAGCUCCACCACCCCAAGCUCCUGUUCCUACUCCCGAGAAUGGUUUGUGCUUCAGGUGUGGACAACCAGGGCACCGUGCUAGGGAAUGCAACCAGAAACAGAAUCAACUGGCCCUUCCAGCAACUGGCCGUGGAAACAACCAGCCCCGCAACAACAAUGCCAAGUCUUAUGGUCGCGUUCAUGCCAACCAUGUUGAUCUGAACGAAGCCCAAGACCAGCCUGCUACCGUGAUGGGUACACUCCUCGUAAAUUCAGUACCAGCUUCUGUCUUAUUUGAUACAGGGGCAUCACAUUCAUUCAUAUCAGCUGAGUUUGCAUUCAUGCAUGGCAUUAAAUACGAAGAGAUGAACACUGCGAUUGUGGUACACACCCCUGCGGGCCAGUGUCAAACCUCUAUGGUUAGUCACAACGUCCCCGUUGAAAUUGAAGGACUGGAAUUCCUUGCCUCCCCCAUCGUACUAAAGUCCUGUAGCAUCGACCUCAUUCUGGGAAUGGAUUGGUUGAAAGCGCAUACUGCGUCUAUAGUUUGCGCCACUAAG
Molecule: ribosomal RNA, 957 nt
Filed under: Triticum aestivum (bread wheat)
Lineage: Eukaryota; Viridiplantae; Streptophyta; Magnoliopsida; Poales; Poaceae
Description: partial small subunit ribosomal RNA
Source: RNAcentral